ACCAGACUCCUACGGGAGGCAGCAGUGGGGAAUAUUGCACAAUGGGGGAAACCCUGAUGCAGCGACGCCGCGUGAGCGAUGAAGUAUUUCGGUAUGUAAAGCUCUAUCAGCAGGGAAGAAAAUGACGGUACCUGACUAAGAAGCCCCGGCUAACUACGUGCCAGCAGCCGCGGUAAUACGUAGGGGGCAAGCGUUAUCCGGAUUUACUGGGUGUAAAGGGGGCGCAGACGGCAGCGCAAGCCAGGAGUGAAAGCCCGGGGCCCAACCCCGGGACUGCUCUUGGAACUGCGCGGCUGGAGUGCAGGAGGGGCAGGCGGAAUUCCUAGUGUAGCGGUGAAAUGCGUAGAUAUUAGGAGGAACACCAGUGGCGAAGGCGGCCUGCUGGACGACAACUGACGGUGAGGCGCGAAAGCGUGGGGAGCAAACAGGAUUAGAUACCCGAGUA
RNAcentral lists this ribosomal RNA (445 nucleotides) under uncultured bacterium. RNAcentral describes it as "partial 16S ribosomal RNA". It matches the Rfam family "Bacterial small subunit ribosomal RNA", at positions 330 to 792 of the family's 1533-position model. The record is from RNAcentral.